Molecule: ribosomal RNA, 582 nt
Filed under: Triticum aestivum (bread wheat)
Lineage: Eukaryota; Viridiplantae; Streptophyta; Magnoliopsida; Poales; Poaceae
Description: partial small subunit ribosomal RNA
Source: RNAcentral
AUGUCUACCUCCUCCGCCACACACUCAAAAUGGCGUCAGUAUGGUCCAGUGCCGCUCAUAAGGUGCCCUGACUGCCCACGCCCAGAGCCUCUGAAACGGUGGGUCAGUAGGACUGAUGAGAAUGGAAAUCUUGGGCGGGAAUUUGUGAAGUGCUUGAGCAAAACAAUGGCAGGAAGGGAUGGCAAGGGUUCAUGUUGUUGUUUUCAAAUCCUGAAGAAAUGCACACAUUUUGAGUGGAUGGAUGAUUAUGUUGAGAGGAUUCAGUUCGAGGGCUACAUUUAUUCGAGCGGGCCCGCAACCUGGGAGCACAAUUUGGGGGGUGGGGUGCCGCAGAUGGAGAAUUUGGGGUCGAGCUCGGACAGAGGGGCGGGCAGAGUCGUGCCGAUGGCGAGGUAUGCGCGCAAUGCUGAACUACACUUGGAGUCUGAACUAACCGAGGAACUGAAGAAGAUCAAGGAAAGUCAAAUGUUGAUGAUCGAUUUGCAGAAGCAAGCAAAUAUCAUGGCAGGGGGUUCUAUUGUUGUGUCAUUGCUCUGUUUUUGUUUUACUUGUUGUUCAUCCGUCAUUAGAGGGGCCAUUUAG